RNAcentral lists this ribosomal RNA (500 nucleotides) under uncultured Glomeromycotina. Its description in RNAcentral is "partial small subunit ribosomal RNA". It matches the Rfam family "Eukaryotic small subunit ribosomal RNA", at positions 591 to 1092 of the family's 1831-position model. The record is from RNAcentral. Lineage: Eukaryota; Fungi; Glomeromycota.
CCAAUAGCGUAUAUUAAAGUUGUUGCAGUUAAAAAGCUCGUAGUUGAAUUUCGGGAUCGACGGGUCGGUCGCGCCUCUGGUGUGUACUGGCCCUGUCGGUUUCUCCCUUCUGACGAACUGCGAUGUCAUUAAUUUGGUGUCGUAGGGAAUCAGGACGGUUACUUUGAAAAAAUUAGAGUGUUUAAAGCAGGCAUUCGCUUGAAUACAUUAGCAUGGAAUAAGGAAAUAGGACGUUUGAUCUUAUUUUGUUGGUUUCUAAGAUCGACGUAAUGAUUAAUAGGGAUAGUUGGGGGCAUUAGUAUUCAAUUGUCAGAGGUGAAAUUCUUGGAUUUAUUGAAGACUAACUACUGCGAAAGCAUUUGCCAAGGAUGUUUUCAUUAAUCAAGAACGAAAGUUAGGGGAUCGAAGACGAUCAGAUACCGUCGUAGUCUUAACCAUAAACUAUGCCGACUAGGGAUCGGAUGAUGUUAAUUUUUUAAUGACUCAUUCGGCGCCUUACG